RNAcentral lists this non-coding RNA (45 nucleotides) under Trichobilharzia regenti. Lineage: Eukaryota; Metazoa; Platyhelminthes; Trematoda; Strigeidida; Schistosomatidae. The record is from RNAcentral.
AUCCAGAUGACGAGUUUCAAAUAGGACGAAAUGUGCACCGUGGAU